UGGGGAAUAUUGGACAAUGGGCGAAAGCCUGAUCCAGCCAUGCCGCGUGAGUGACGAAGGCCUUAGGGUUGUAAAACUCUUUCGUCGGGGACGAUAAUGACGGUACCCGAAGAAGAAGCUCCGGCUAACUUCGUGCCAGCAGCCGCGGUAAUACGAAGGGAGCUAGCGUUGUUCGGAAUCACUGGGCGUAAAGCGCACGUAGGCGGAUAGUUAAGUCAGGGGUGAAAUCCUGGGGCUCAACCCCAGAACUGCCUUUGAUACUGGCUGUCUCGAGGUCGAGAGAGGUUGGUGGAAUUCCUAGUGUAGAGGUGAAAUUCGUAGAUAUUAGGAAGAACACCAGUGGCGAAGGCGGCUCACUGGUCCGGUACUGACGCUGAGGUGCGAAAGCGUGGGGAGCAAACAGGAUUAGAUACCCCUGUAGUCCCUGAGCGGGCUGGCAAGGCGCAU
RNAcentral lists this ribosomal RNA (447 nucleotides) under uncultured bacterium. Its description in RNAcentral is "bacterial SSU rRNA". It matches the Rfam family "Bacterial small subunit ribosomal RNA", at positions 355 to 825 of the family's 1533-position model. The record is from RNAcentral.